This is a long non-coding RNA of Ictalurus punctatus (channel catfish), 316 nucleotides long. The record is from Ensembl. Lineage: Eukaryota; Metazoa; Chordata; Actinopteri; Siluriformes; Ictaluridae.
AGAUAGUGUAAGAGUAUAGAUAGUGUAAGAGUAUAGAUAGUAUAAUAGUGUAAGAGUACAGAUAGCGUAAGAUUAUAGAUAGUAUAUAGUGUAAGAGUACAGAUAGUGUAAGAGUAUAGAUAGUAUAUAGUGUAAGAGUACAGAUAGUGUAAGAGUAUAGAUUAUGUAAGAGUACAGAUAGUGUAAGAGUACAGAUAGUGUAAGAUUUAAGAGUAUAUUUACUGUAUAAUGUAAGAGUAUAAUUAAGAGUGUGUGAUUGAGACCAAGCCCUUAUAUUAACACUGUACAUCUGUUAGUGAUUGAAACAGCUGGCUAA